UGGGGAAUCUUGCACAAUGGGCGAAAGCCUGAUGCAGCAACGCCGCGUGCGGGAAGACAGCCCUAGGGUUGUAAACCGCUUUCAGCAGGGAAGAAACUGACGGUACCUGCAGAAGAAGAUGCGGCCAACUACGUGCCAGCAGCCGCGGUGACACGUAGGCAUCAAGCGUUAUCCGGAUUUAUUGGGCGUAAAGAGCUCGUAGGCGGUUCGGUAAGUCGGGUGUGAAAACUCUGGGCUCAACCCAGAGAGGCCACUCGAUACUGCUGUGACUAGAGUGCGGUAGGGGAGCGGGGAAUUCCUGGUGUAGCGGUGAAAUGCGCAGAUAUCAGGAGGAACACCAGUGGCGAAGGCGCCGCUCUGGGCCGUAACUGACGCUGAGGAGCGAAAGCAUGGGUAGCAAACAGGAUUAGAUACCCUGGUAGUCCAUGCCGUAAACGUUGGGCACUAGGUGUGGGUCUCAACCAACGAGAUCCGCGCCGUCGCUAACGCAUUAAGUGCCCGCCUGGGAGUACGGUCGCAAGAC
This 523-nucleotide ribosomal RNA is filed under the name uncultured bacterium. RNAcentral's name for it is "bacterial SSU rRNA". It matches the Rfam family "Bacterial small subunit ribosomal RNA", at positions 355 to 894 of the family's 1533-position model. The record is from RNAcentral.